GGUCCUAGGGUUGAUCAGGCAACUACUGUCAAACGGUGGCUAAUACCGGAUAUGCCGAAAGGUAAAAGGCUUGCUGCCUGAAGAUGAGCUCGCGUCUGAUUAGCUAGUUGGUGUGGUAAGAGCGCACCAAGGCGACGAUCAGUAGCUGGUCUGAGAGGAUGAUCAGCCACACUGGGACUGAGACACGGCCCAGACUCCUACGGGAGGCAGCAGUGGGGAAUUUUCCGCAAUGGGCGAAAGCCUGACGGAGCAAUACCGCGUGAGGGAGGAAGGCUCUUGGGUUGUAAACCUCUUUUCUCAGGGAAGAAAAAAAUGACGGUACCUGAGGAAUCAGCAUCGGCUAACUCCGUGCCAGCAGCCGCGGUAAUACGGAGGAUGCAAGCGUUAUCCGGAAUGAUUGGGCGUAAAGCGUCCGCAGGUGGCUAUGUAAGUCUGCUGUUAAAGAGCAAAGCUUAACUUUGUAAAAGCAGUGGAAACUACAUAGCUAGAGUGCGUUCGGGGCAGAGGGAAUUCCUGGUGUAGCGGUGAAAUGCGUAGAGAUCAGGAAGAACACCGGUGGCGAAGGCGCUCUGCUAGGCCGCAACCUUAUCGGUGAAGGCACGAAGCCGGGGCUGGAAUU
Molecule: ribosomal RNA, 619 nt
Filed under: Nostoc punctiforme HPU NR 08
Lineage: Bacteria; Bacillati; Cyanobacteriota; Cyanophyceae; Nostocales; Nostocaceae
Description: bacterial SSU rRNA
Rfam family: Bacterial small subunit ribosomal RNA
Source: RNAcentral